Molecule: ribosomal RNA, 372 nt
Filed under: uncultured organism
Description: bacterial SSU rRNA
Rfam family: Bacterial small subunit ribosomal RNA
Source: RNAcentral
CGUAGGUGGCAAGCGUUGUCCGGAAUUAUUGGGCGUAAAGCGCGCGCAGGCGGUUCCUUAAGUCUGAUGUGAAAGCCCCCGGCUCAACCGGGGAAGGUCAUUGGAAACUGGGGAACUUGAGUGCAGAAGAGAAGAGCGGAAUUCCACGUGUAGCGGUGAAAUGCGUAGAGAUGCGGAGGAACACCAGUGGCGAAGGCGGCUCUUUGGUCUGUAACUGACGCUGAGGCGCGAAAGCGUGGGGAGCAAACAGGAUUAGAUACCCUGGUAGUCCACGCCGUAAACGAUGAGUGCUAAGUGUUAGAGGGUUUCCGCCCUUUAGUGCUGCAGCUAACGCAUUAAGCACUCCGCCUGGGGAGUACGGCCGCAAGGCUG